GUACCCGGAGGGAAAGUUGCAAAGCACUUUGAAGAGAGAGUUAAAGAGGACGUGAAACCGGUAAGGUGGAAACGGAUAGAGUCGGCGUAUCAUUCAAUUAUUCAGUUACAUUAUUUUUAUGUUGUGACCUCUGAGCUCCAGAUUGGGACAGAGGGAAUCAGCAUAAUUUUUUGUGGUGCAUUUACUUGAUUGGUGCUUGGGGAUGUUUGAGGCAGAUUUGUUUCCGUCGUUUUGAGGCCAGCUUGCUGGUACCCAAACGGUGUUAGCAUUUUUUGUCUUGGGCAUUUGAGUAUGGCUCACGUGUAUUUAUUGGACAGAUCUGAGUGUAAGUUACGGUCGCAUGCGACACGUGCUUUUCAAUUAGUUCGGUCCAGUUAAUGCUCUCGUACUCGUUCCCCAUGUAAAAGCCGGUCAUCUAUCCGACCCGUCUUGAAACACGGACCAAGGAGUUUAUCGUGUGCGCAAGUUUUUGGGUGUUAAAAACUUAAAAGCGAAAUGAAAGUAAAUGACUCUUUAGAGUCUGAUGUGCGAUCUUGUAAAAAAGUGUAGCAUGGCCCCAUUCUAACUGUUUACAGUAGGGUGGCGGAAGAGCGUACGCGGUGAGACCCGAAAGAUGGUGAACUAUUCCUGAGCAGGACGAAGCCAGAGGAAACUCUGGUGGAAGUCCGAAGCGGUUCUGACGUGCAAAUCGAUCGUCUGACUUGGGUAUAGGGGCGAAAAACUAAUCGAACCAUCUAGUAACUGGUUUCCUUACGUAAAAAGAAGUUGAGCCCCGGGAUUGGUAGGAGCUGCGGGAGGA
This 799-nucleotide ribosomal RNA is filed under the name Meloidogyne javanica (root-knot nematode). RNAcentral describes it as "partial large subunit ribosomal RNA". It matches the Rfam family "Eukaryotic large subunit ribosomal RNA", at positions 348 to 1401 of the family's 3401-position model. Lineage: Eukaryota; Metazoa; Nematoda; Chromadorea; Rhabditida; Meloidogynidae. The record is from RNAcentral.